CAAUAGCGUAUAUUAAAGUUGUUGCGGUUAAAAAGCUCGUAGUUGGAUUUCUGCCGAGGACGACCGGUCCGCCCUCCGGGUGAGUAUCUGGUUUGGCCUGGGCAUCUUCUUGGAGAACGUAGCUGCACUUGACUGUGUGGUGCGGUGUCCAGGACUUUUACUUUGAGGAAAUUAGAGUGUUUCAAGCAGGCACACGCCUUGAAUACAUUAGCAUGGAAUAAUAAGAUAGGACCUCGGUUCUAUUUUGUUGGUUUCUAGAGCUGAGGUAAUGAUUAAUAGGGAUAGUUGGGGGCAUUCGUAUUUAACUGUCAGAGGUGAAACUCUUGGAUUUGUUAAAGACGGACUACUGCGAAAGCAUUUGCCAAGGAUGUUUUCAUUGA
Molecule: ribosomal RNA, 380 nt
Filed under: uncultured eukaryote
Lineage: Eukaryota
Description: partial 18S ribosomal RNA
Rfam family: Eukaryotic small subunit ribosomal RNA
Source: RNAcentral